RNAcentral lists this ribosomal RNA (253 nucleotides) under uncultured bacterium. RNAcentral describes it as "partial 16S ribosomal RNA". It matches the Rfam family "Bacterial small subunit ribosomal RNA", at positions 524 to 776 of the family's 1533-position model. The record is from RNAcentral.
UACGGAGGGGGCAAGCGUUGUUCGGAAUUACUGGGCGUAAAGCGCGCGUAGGCGGUUAGUAUAGUCAGGCGUGAAAUCCCUGGGCUCAACCCAGGAACUGCGCUUGAUACUGGCUAACUAGAGCUCUGGAGAGGGUAGUGGAAUUCCCAGUGUAGAGGUGAAAUUCGUAGAUAUUGGGAAGAACACCAGCGGCGAAGGCGGCUACCUGGACAGAUACUGACGCUGAGGUGCGAAAGCGUGGGGAGCAAACAGG